This 369-nucleotide ribosomal RNA is filed under the name uncultured phototrophic eukaryote. RNAcentral's name for it is "SSU rRNA". It matches the Rfam family "Bacterial small subunit ribosomal RNA", at positions 524 to 896 of the family's 1533-position model. The record is from RNAcentral.
UACGGGGGAUGCAAGCGUUAUCCGGAAUCAUUGGGCGUAAAGCGCCUGUAGGUUGUUUAAUAAGUCUGUUGUUAAAGACUAGGGCUUAACCCUAGGAAAGCAAUGGAAACUACUAGACUUGAGUAUGAUAGGGGUAGAGGGAAUUUCUAGUGUAGCGGUGAAAUGCGUAGAUAUUGGGAAGAACACCGGUGGCGAAAGCGCUCUACUGGACCAUUACUGACACUCAGAGGCGAAAGCUAGGGUAGCAAAAGGGAUUAGAUACCCCUGUAGUCCUAGCCGUAAACGAUGGAUACUAGAUGUUGUGCAUAAUGUACAGUAUCGUAGCUAACGCGUUAAGUAUCCCGCCUGGGGAGUACGCUCGCAAGGGUG